GUCCCCUUCGUCUAGAGGCCCAGGACACCGCCCUUUCACGGCGGUAACAGGGGUUCGAAUCCUAGGGGGGGACGCCA
This 77-nucleotide transfer RNA is filed under the name Enterobacter bugandensis. RNAcentral's name for it is "tRNA-Glu". It matches the Rfam family "tRNA". From Rfam's summary of the family: Transfer RNA (tRNA) molecules are approximately 80 nucleotides in length. Their secondary structure includes four short double-helical elements and three loops (D, anti-codon, and T loops). Further hydrogen bonds mediate the characteristic L-shaped molecular structure. tRNAs have two regions of fundamental functional importance: the anti-codon, which is responsible for specific mRNA codon recognition, and the 3' end, to which the tRNAs corresponding amino acid is attached (by aminoacyl-tRNA synthetases). tRNAs cope with the degeneracy of the genetic code in two manners: having more than one tRNA (with a specific anti-codon) for a particular amino acid; and 'wobble' base-pairing, i.e. permitting non-standard base-pairing at the 3rd anti-codon position. The record is from RNAcentral. Lineage: Bacteria; Pseudomonadati; Pseudomonadota; Gammaproteobacteria; Enterobacterales; Enterobacteriaceae.